AUACGUAGGGUGCAAGCGUUAAUCGGAAUUACUGGGCGUAAAGCGUGCGCAGGCGGUUUUGUAAGACAGUGGUGAAAUACCCGGGGUCAACCUGGGGACUGCCAUUUUGACUGCAAGGACGGAGGGCGGCAGAGGGGGGAGGAAUUCCGCGCGGAGUAGUGCAAUGCGUAGAUAUGCGGAGGAACACCGAUGGCGAAGGCAAUCCCCUGGGCCUGUACUGACGCUCAUGCACGAAAGCGUGGGGAGCAAACAGGAUUAGAUACCCUGGUAGUCCACGCCCUAAACGAUGUCAACUGGUUGUUGGGUCUUCAUUGACUCAGUAACGAAGCUGACGCGUGAAGUUGACCGCCUGGGGAGUACGGCCGCAAGGUUGAAACUCAAAUGAAUUGACGGG
Molecule: ribosomal RNA, 394 nt
Filed under: uncultured bacterium
Lineage: Bacteria
Description: partial 16S ribosomal RNA
Rfam family: Bacterial small subunit ribosomal RNA
Source: RNAcentral